GAAGUCAAUAGUGGCAAAAUCUUAUGGGAUUUGUGAAACUGAUUAGUGGAAUUGUUGCUAUCGAAUUUAAUCUUUUUAAUUGUGUGGAUGCCUUUUGGUUGGAAUCUUUGUAAUCAAUACGGGACUAUGAUGUCAAAUAUUGAAAGACAUAUCCGUUUCCCUUUUCUUCUUUAAAAUAAAAAAUUAAAUAAAUUUGCAAAAACAAUAAUCAGUAAAUCCAAUUUAAAAGAAAUAAUUUUAUAAUAUUUAUUUUUUUAAUUAUUUUCUAAUACUAUAUUUAAUUAAAAUUUAUUAAAAAAUUUAUUUAAUUUAAAAAAUAUAAAAAAAUA
Molecule: long non-coding RNA, 329 nt
Filed under: Ricinus communis (castor bean)
Lineage: Eukaryota; Viridiplantae; Streptophyta; Magnoliopsida; Malpighiales; Euphorbiaceae
Description: long non-coding RNA (RCOM_LNC003818)
Source: RNAcentral